CUAGCUGUAAACGAUGUAGACUUGGCGUUGGUGGGGUAAAAUCCAUCAGUGCCGAAGCAAACGCGAUAAGUCUACCGCCUGGGGACUACGGCCGCAAGGUUAAAACUCAAAGGAAUUGACGGGACCCCGCACAAGCAGCGGAGCGUGUGGUUUAAUUCGAUGAUACACGAAGAACCUUACCUGGGUUUGACAUGCAAGUGGUAGGAAACUGAAAGGGGACCGACCCUUCGGGGAGCUUGCACAGGUGC
This 248-nucleotide ribosomal RNA is filed under the name uncultured Anaerolineaceae bacterium. Its description in RNAcentral is "partial 16S ribosomal RNA". It matches the Rfam family "Bacterial small subunit ribosomal RNA", at positions 796 to 1041 of the family's 1533-position model. Lineage: Bacteria; Bacillati; Chloroflexota; Anaerolineae; Anaerolineales; Anaerolineaceae. The record is from RNAcentral.